This 4547-nucleotide unclassified non-coding RNA is filed under the name Hevea brasiliensis (rubber tree). Lineage: Eukaryota; Viridiplantae; Streptophyta; Magnoliopsida; Malpighiales; Euphorbiaceae. The record is from RNAcentral.
AAAGAAGUGUGGCAGUAGAAAGGUAAUGAGUAGCAAAAGAUUUGUCAGGUUGCAGUGGAAGAAAGAGGAGGAGACAGGAGGCCUAUGAUUCAAUCGCUUUUUGCAUAUAAUAUAAUAUAUGGAGAUGGACUUGUGUUUGCCAAAAUCUAAGUCUGGCUUUUCCGCAAGAUCUAAUAGCCAUAACCCUAAAAUCAAUCACCAGCUUUUCUUCUUAUCUCAUCGCUCCAACCAUCACCUUUCUCCAGAAGAGCAUUUGAAAGUUUGCAGAACUGUGAAGGAACUUCAAUCUAUAUAUUGACAAUGAGUCAACCUAAAAUCAAGCGUAGAGUGGGUAAAUAUGAGGUGGGAAGAACAAUUGGUGAGGGAACAUUUGCAAAAGUAAAGUUUGCCAGGAACUCCGAGACAGGGGAGCCUGUGGCUCUGAAGAUUCUUGACAAAGAGAAGGUUCUUAAACACAAGAUGGCUGAACAGAUCAAGCGAGAGAUAGCAACAAUGAAGCUUAUAAAGCAUCCAAAUGUUGUUUGUUUAUAUGAGGUGAUGGGAAGCAAGACAAAGAUAUUCAUUGUCUUGGAGUUUGUUACUGGGGGAGAGCUUUUUGACAAAAUUGUAAACCAUGGACGGAUGAGAGAAGAUGAAGCUCGGAGAUAUUUCCAGCAGCUUAUUAACGCAGUUGAUUACUGCCACAGUAGGGGUGUCUACCACAGAGACCUGAAGCCAGAAAAUCUGCUGUUGGAUGCUUAUGGGAACCUCAAAGUUUCUGAUUUUGGACUAAGUGCAUUGUCCCAACAAGUCAGGGAUGAUGGUCUACUUCAUACUACUUGUGGAACUCCAAAUUAUGUUGCUCCUGAGGUUCUUAAUGAUAGAGGUUAUGAUGGGGCAACUGCAGACAUGUGGUCUUGUGGAGUGAUACUUUUUGUACUGCUUGCAGGGUACUUGCCUUUUGAUGAUUCUAAUCUUAUGAACCUGUAUAAAAAAAUUUCUGCAGCUGAGUUCACUUGCCCCCCUUGGCUUUCUUUUGGUGCCAUGAAAUUAAUCACUAAAAUUUUGGAUCCUAAUCCUAUGACUGUAAGUAAUUGUACUUUAUCAACUUUAUUACUUGUUCUUUACUACAUUAAAUAACUUGUGGUUGAUAACUUUGAUUUUCAAAAAAUAAGAGAGAUAUCUACUGUAUUGCCUCUACUUAGAUGUUAUUGAAAUUGAAUGGAGCUGAAGCUCACAAUCUAUGCAUUAGGCCAACAUCGGUGGAAAUGGUGACAUGUAUCUAGGAAUAUUGUAGUUUAUAUCCAUUAUUAGUAAUGCAUCCACUUGUUGCUUCUGCAAAGUUACAUUUCAACAUGUUUAUAAUAUUUCUGUUGGGUGGAGGAUGGCUAGUCAGAUUUGAUUCUGGCUUUUCGCAUUUAUAAGCUUAGCACACACUUUGAAAAAUUGAAAAUUUUCAUAGUUCUUUUUUAAUUUAAUUGAGCUACAAUCUCUCGGAGUGAUUUGUAAGGGUGCAAGUGAUGAAGCUGAUGCUAGAAGUUUGAGCUUUCAAAUCAAUGCUUUUGUUAGCCGCCAGGCAUAGCAAAAUUACUAUUAAUUACAAUUUUAUAUUAUUUUAUAAAUUUAUUUUAGUGAUUUUUCUUAUUUUUCAUUUGGUUUGUCUCUGAUUUACAAUUUAUAUCUAUGGCAGCGCAUCACUAUACCUGAAAUCUUGGAAGAUGAAUGGUUUAAGAAAGAUUAUAAGGCCGCUGUAUUUGAGGAGAAAGAAGACACCAACUUGGAUGAUGUUGAAGCUGUUUUUAAGGACUCAGAAGAACAUCAUGUAAUGGAGAAGAAGGAAGAACAGCCAACAGCUAUGAAUGCAUUUGAGUUGAUUUCUAUGUCAAAAGGACUAAAUCUCGGGAAUUUGUUUGAUACAGAACAGGUUUUCAUGUUAGAAUGCUUUCUUUAUGUUAUACUUUUUAAACUGUACUUCAAAAUGGAUUGAUUCUUUCCAUGUGUGUGCAUGUGCAUGCACUAUGCAAAAGGACGAAUGGUAGUGCAGCAAACAUCCCCUCCCUGCUUCUGAGGAAUUAAGGGUUGAUGCUAAAGUAUUGUUCUGUUUACAGGCGGGUAAAUCCAGUAGUCAGGAUGUGUGUGUCUGCAUUAUAGGACUACGUGCAGGCAUGUGUAUGCUUUUCUUUGAUUCUGUUGUAAUUUGAGCAUUUCACAGAUAGGUGAGGUCACUAAUUCAACCAAUAAUCAUGCAUGCACAUGGCAAGGGGAUGUUUGAAAUAAUCCAGGUUCUCUGAUUGCUGCUAGACUAUAUGUUCCCAUGUUAAUUCAUUGAAGGCACAGUAGCAGAGAAUUAUUCUUUCUAACCUUGUUCAAGGUGAUUUCAUGACCAGCACAGGUUUUUAAUUCUUGCGAGAAAUAUUAAGUGGGUCCAUGCAACCUCUGAAAUUAUGAACUAUAAGAUUGAGAAUUUGGGUCAUUGUCUAUUGUGAACUAAUCUCAAAGUGUCGUUGGUUUCAUAAGAAGAUAUACAUAGUUUCUGUGGUUGCUAUCCUUCUUAGGUGGCGGAAUAUAUAAUUGGCUUGUGGCAACAAAUUUUUGGGAUUGAUUUAAAUGACUGAAACUUGAAACUUGAAUCUUGUGUUAUUCUCUGUUCAUAUUUUGUGACUAAUGGUUGGCUACAGGGAUUCAAGAGGGAAACAAGGUUCACAUCUAAAUGCCCUGCUAAUGAGAUAAUCCAUAAGAUUGAAGAAGCUGCAAAGCCUCUUGGUUUUGAUGUUCACAAGAAAAACUACAAGAUGAGGCUUGAAAAUAUGAAAGCUGGGAGAAAGGGAAACCUUAAUGUUGCCACUGAGAUUUUCCAAGUGGCGCCUUCUCUACAUAUGGUUGAAGUGCGGAAAGCAAAAGGAGACACUUUGGAAUUCCAUAAGGUACCGUUUCUCUUAUUCUUGAAUUUCUUUUUAAAGGGAGAUGAACUGUGAUUUGAUGUGAAUUUUUUUCUUCAGUUUAUUCAUUAGUAAUUUCUAUUAAAGGGCUUCUUAAUAGUGUAUGUUUCAUUGGUUUAAAAUGAAGAUGAUCUUAAGAAUGCCAUUAGUUGAUUCCUCUAUGUGGGUUGGAGUUUGGCCUACCAAUCAAGACCCAUUAAGGUUCAACUUGAUAGGAUUGCGUUGUCAUUGUUGAAGGAGAGAUUUGAAUUGGGAAUUACAGGGUUUGAUGUCACAGGGGAAAAAAGCUUGGCUUAUCAAAAGAAAGAAACAAUAGCUAAACCAAUGUGAAAAUAAAGAUAUAGAAAUGCUCCAGACCACGCAGAUAAUCAAAAGAAGUGCAACUUCGAAAGAGGGAGAGCAAUGGGAGUGCAUUUUCAAACUGAAACAGUUAAACACAAAAUUAAUUCCAUUAUCAAAAUUACAAGAAAAUUCGAAAGGCACUGAAAUAUUUAUUCAUUUGAUGAGGGAAAAUAUAUUUUACUAGAAUGAGGCGUCAAAUGAGUUGCCCUUUGUGUGCCUUCAGGAUACUCAAUUUUAAAUCUAUAUCCAAAAAAUAAAUGCUGCUUACAAAAGCACUCCUUUCAAGAUCAAACACAUCAUCAACCAAACAUGAACGAUAAAUAGCCGCCUUUUUUUAAUUUCUCAGAGAGGAUUCUUUCAUCUCAAAAGCUUUCAGAUUCUACUUUUGUCAUGUUAUCCACCAUAUGGCCAGAGGUGGCACCCAUACCCUAUUAUUCCUCGGCCAAUGAACUGAUCCUCUCGCCGCUAUACUUGAAAAAGAAAAGGGUUUGGAACUUGGACAAAGUGCUGUUCAGAGUUUGGAUCUUGUUCCCUGGUACAAUAUAUCUGGUCCAACACCUAAAAGUUAAGUCAGCUGAUUGGAAUUAAGCAAUUUUCUGAAAGCUUGACCUUUUGAAACGCUUAUAAUUAUGAAUCCAAUGUUAUAAUCAUGUUUAUCAGGUUAUCAUUUUGUUUACAUUUUACAGAAUCUGCUGUUCAAGUUGGUUAUCUUUUUGUUUAUUUGAUGUUUUUUCUGCAGUUCUAUAAAAAUCUUUCAACCUGCCUCGAUGAUGUUGUCUGGAAAACUGAGGAUGACAUGCAAGAAAUGAAGUAAAAAUAGGGCCCCUGUCUUGAAGAGAUCAGAUCACCAUCUUUUGUUUAUGUUGCCUUGCCAAUUGUGUCAUUCUUGUUCUAUAUAUAUCUUCAUUCUUUACCACCCUCGUUUCCUGGGACCAUUUUCUACUCUGUACAAUUUGAGAGACAUGUCUUCACCAAUUGUUUUCCUCGCUAUUAUUGUUGGAAAGCAUGGAAAAUUCUCCUUGUUUGGUUUUCUCAUUUACUGGAAGAUGUUAAAAACGAGAGAUUUGGCAAAUUAAAGUGUUUAUAUGUGUUUCCUUUUUGGUAUGUGUACCGCUUCUUUUCUUGGAAAUUAUUGCCAUCAGUUUUUUUCUGUUGGUUUCCUUUCUGUGCUCUUUUCUUUGUUCUUUACAAAACUUCUGAAGAUUAUGUGUUAUUGUGUCAAGUGUAAGGUUUUAACUUUGAAGAUUCAGAUCAGGAAGUUUUUAUGCUUGGAAGUCACUUUGGAAA